Molecule: long non-coding RNA, 1602 nt
Organism: Neopelma chrysocephalum (saffron-crested tyrant-manakin)
Lineage: Eukaryota; Metazoa; Chordata; Aves; Passeriformes; Pipridae
Exons: 6
Source: RefSeq, a predicted model, not a curated record
CCUGUGCCCGUGUCACUCCUCCAGGGAGAAGGAACUUCUGUGAACAGCACUGUAGGAACUCCAGCUGUGACAGCAUCCAACAUGGCACGGGAUGUCUUUACUGUGCCAGUAAUUACCAAAAUGGAAAAAGAGAUUUUUCUAUCCCAAACACUCAUUAUUUUACUUAUCUGAUUUUAAUAGGAACAAAGAGAAAUUAUAUCCUUAGGUGGGAACAUGUUCAAAUAGGAUUUCUCUAGACUGACAGCCAUAGCCAAGUUGCACUCAGAAGCAAAUAGGAAACUGGGGUAGCUUUUGCAGAGCCUGUAUAAUAUUUUUCUCUGAAGUGAAAUAUGUAUAAUAUAAUAUUUUUCUCUGUGAAAAGCAGCAUGUGCCUACUGGAGCUUCUGACAUCUCCUGUCACACAGGUGAUUACUGACUGGUGGUCUGAUGCUUCUGCCAUAUAAACCUGAUGUCAUCAAAGCUGGUGGACCCAGAGAUGAACCAGAGCUCCUGAGCCUGCCUGCCCUCUCGUCCCGCUGCACAUGAGGCCCCUGAGCUGCCCGUGCUGUUGUGCCCAGUGCAGAGGCUGCAGGGAAAACACGGCCUGCCAGUGAGACAUGUUUAGGAGGAGGCUGUGGAGCCCAGCUCUGUGGAUGCUCUGCUGCACAACCAAGCCCACACUGCAGAGUCUUCCUGGGUGUCUUCCAGGGUCUGAGCUCCACUGAGUGUUUGUCUCGGGUCUGUUCUGUUCAGCUCCUUCCCUGCACCUUCAGAGGCAAGCCUCUUCCCCAAAAUCUACGCUGUUUGGCAUUCAUCCUGCAGCCAAGGAGAGCUCCUUCAGCAGUGGGAUCUGCCCAAGAGGCAAUGGGAAUGGUCAGUUCACUCCUACUGACUUGCCUGGAAAUUCAGUAUCAGGAUGCACAUGAAGCCACUGGAUGGACUGAGAGUCUUCAAGACUGUGAUGAUCCUCUGUUCAGUUAACAAUGAUUUUUAUAAAUGCAGCAUCAAGAAGAGAUACUUGAUAGCUGAAUGCUCACGACAGAAAUGGAGCAUCAGCACUUGAGUUAAAUGAAAGUGAGAGGAAGAAAUGAGAAGAAGAAAUCAAGGCACAAGUAUGAUUGUUCACAUUUGAUUCUGAGGAAGUCACUGCUGGGAAUGCUGCCACCUGCUAAUGAAGAACCCUCUUAUGCCAAGAUUCAGACUGGAAGGAAAAAUUGAUUGCUUAAGUUUGAUCAGGAUGUCGUGAGCAGACCAUUGGUGUUCCAAAAAGCAAUGGCAAUCUUUUUUGUGCCUGUCUGAUGCACUGCCCAAGCACUUCUAGGGAGAGACAGUAAAGGGAGACCAUCCAUCAGCAUCACUUAAUCUAAACCAGUGUUAAUUUUGUGGCUGUAUUUAAACCGCUUGGGAUGUGAUACUAAAACCACCUCUGCUAUAAAACUAAGCACACUUGGGUGUGCCUCAGGGAUGGGAAUGCUGGUAUGGGAGCCACUUAGGCCAAGUUCAUAUGUGGGAAUCUCAGCUGAGCCUGAUUCAAACUCUAAAUACUGUCUGAGACACUUCUGUGAGAACUGAGAGUAAUCUGAACUGCUGUGCCAAUAUUAAUAAAUUAAACUGUGAAUGUCC